GACUUGAGAAACUGUUUGUACAGAUCCCUUCCCAAAAGAGUUUGUUCCUAUAAUCAUUGCUCUCUUAUGAUCCUGUAGAGCUCCUGCGACAAUCUCAGAGGCCGAAGCUGAAGAACCAUUGAUAAGUACAGCAAUAGGUAAGUCUAGCUCCUUAUGACCGCUCUUUUUAACAUAUCUAAUUUCUUUAUUCUUAGGAUCUCGACCUUCAGUAGAAACCACGAUCCCUUCUUUAAGAAAUAUAGAAGAAACAUUAACUGCUUCAUCUAGUAAUCCACCUGGAUUA
Molecule: non-coding RNA, 283 nt
Filed under: uncultured Halobacteriovorax sp.
Lineage: Bacteria; Pseudomonadati; Bdellovibrionota; Bacteriovoracia; Bacteriovoracales; Halobacteriovoraceae
Source: RNAcentral